CAUUCCAUAUUUUAUUGCCUUUUUUUUUAAAUAUAUUUGGGGUUUUGUUUUCAAGUAGAGUUUUUAUUUCGUUCUCGGUUGGGUCAGUAACACGCUUCACCAUUAUUGUCGUCUUCAGGGUUUUUUUGGCGGUUGGCAAACCAACUUAAAGGUGCAUUACUGCCACCGACUGGGCUGGAGUGUGGAGCAGGAGAGAUUUUAGGGGAGAAGAAACCUGUUUUCUUUUAAAUACUCGAUGACAGUGAUUACAAUCUGACUUGAUGCGCACCGCCAUUUUGUUUUUCUUUACUCACGGUAUAGGCUAUGAGCUGAUAUCCUAGUAGUAGAGUAGCCAAUCAGAGCGCACGAUUACUCAUAUCCAGUGAAUGUGGAUAGAAUAAUUCUAAUUUCAUUUGCUUGUGCUUAGCUUUGGUUAAUUGUUACCUACGUUACACCAAACUCAGCUGAUCCAAAUCAUUUUCAAAAAAAAAUAGUGUUUAAACAAAAUCGGACCAAACUUGUCUGGAUUACAUGUACUGCAGGAUACAUUCGACCUUUCUGUAUAGAUUUGUAAUGCCUGGAGGAGAUCAUUAUCUCCUCAUGAGGAGAGGAGAGCGUGUUACCUGCGCUCCAGUCUCCAGGCAUAGAGAACGUACACCCAGCCGUGCACUCAGUCUGACCGUAGCCCUCGAAUAUCUACACACAGAGUAAAACAUGUUCAUUAAGACGACGUCUCUGACACAAACUCACUCAACCACCUACAGCAAACAUCCAAGAGAAUACAAUAUUUAUAUUUAAAAAAAAAAAAAGUUUUAUACAGCUGUGAAAAAGAUGUAAAAUCAUUUUCCAUGAUGUGUAUACACUUGAUGGCUAUUAAGAACACUGAAUGUGAUCUAAACCCCAAAACAGUUCAUGCCCAAGUAGCUUUGUCCAUAAGAACUGCUGCAUAUACAAAAAAAAAAAACAUAUCAGUGUCUUCAUAACCUUAACUCUGGAUAACUUUGCACGUAGCCAGAACCUCACUAAUAUUCGAAGGAUGUUUCCAUUUCUUUUUUUUUUUUUCCCCUUCCUUUGACUGGAAAACCAGGCUAUUAAAGUCCAGGUGUUCCAGGAUGCGUGGGAACUCGUGUUCUGUUCAUUUGUCUAGUUUUCCCACAGUCUUGUUCCUCCAUAUAUUUGAUUUCAGUGCCAGGACAUAACUCAUUUGGGUUCAUUUUACACUUCUGCAUUACCGUUCCUACUGCUUUCAAUUCGAUUAUAAACUUUUUGUCUUCUAUUAGUGUGGAAUGGUGUAAUCUUGUUUGAGAAAUAUAAUGAGGAGUAAAUGAUAUUAGUUGUGGUUUGUUUUUUUUUCCCCCUUUUCUAAGGAGAGCUCUGACCAGGCAGCCGAGGGCGGCUCGGAGGAAGGACAGCACUGUGGGCGAGAUGGGAGCUGAAGCCGUCAUGAUGAAGCGCAGGUUUCCUCCCAGACUGGCCUAGAGAGGGAAAGAAACAAACAUCUUCAAUCAGGUCGCUCGACACCGCUACGUUUCUGUAGCAAGCAUGACCUCAGCUCGGAGGUGAAAUAUGCAGCCACACCGCCAGUCCAACGAAAGAGUGUGAAGUGCACACAGAGUGGCUCGAGACUGAGGACUUGGGAAGUACGUAAAACUGGACAUGAGAGACCAAGCGACAGAGUGAAUGGGGAAACGGCGGGGAAGGAGUCAAAAGUCUGAAGAAGGAGGAAGCAGUGGACUUGUUUCAAGAUCAAUGAUUUCCUACGUGAGAUUUCUCACUCCUGAGGUUUCCUCGCACAUCCAGUUUCACAACACGUGCCUUUGUGGUAAAAUGCCUGACAUAUCAAACUGGCAUGACCAGACAGUUCUCUACAACUGUCUCCCUCACCCUUUUCUUCCUCCUUUAUUAAAAUGUUUACAGUCCA
Neoarius graeffei (lesser salmon catfish) is the source of this 1900-nucleotide long non-coding RNA. RefSeq lists it as uncharacterized. Lineage: Eukaryota; Metazoa; Chordata; Actinopteri; Siluriformes; Ariidae. The record is from RefSeq and is a predicted model, not a curated record. The transcript is spliced from 2 exons.